Molecule: ribosomal RNA, 494 nt
Filed under: uncultured bacterium
Lineage: Bacteria
Description: partial 16S ribosomal RNA
Rfam family: Bacterial small subunit ribosomal RNA
Source: RNAcentral
GAUGAACGCUGGCGGCGUGCCUAACACAUGCAAGUCGAACGGAGUUAUUAUUAUGAAGUUUUCGGAUGGAUUAAUAAUAACUUAGUGGCGGACGGGUGAGUAACGCGUGGGUAACCUGCCUCAUACAGGGGGAUAACAGUUGGAAACGGCUGCUAAAACCGCAUAACAUUGCGAUGUCGCAUGACAAUGCAAUUAAAUAUUUAUAGGUAUGAGAUGGGCCCGCGUCUGAUUAGCUAGUUGGUGGGGUAAUGGCCUACCAAGGCGACGGUCAGUAGCCGGCUUGAGAGAGUGACCCGCCACAUUGGGACUGAGACACGGCCCAAACUCCUACGGGAGGCAGCAGUGGGGAAUAUUGCACAAUGGGGGAAACCCUGAUGCAGCGACGCCGCGUGAGUGAAGAAGUAUUUCGGUAUGUAAAGCUCUAUCAGCAGGGAAGAAAAUGACGGUACCUGACUAAGAAGCCCCGGCUAACUACGUGCCAGCCGCCGCAGUAA